This 429-nucleotide ribosomal RNA is filed under the name uncultured Acidobacterium sp. RNAcentral's name for it is "bacterial SSU rRNA". It matches the Rfam family "Bacterial small subunit ribosomal RNA", at positions 958 to 1385 of the family's 1533-position model. Lineage: Bacteria; Pseudomonadati; Acidobacteriota; Terriglobia; Terriglobales; Acidobacteriaceae. The record is from RNAcentral.
AACGCGAAGAACCUUACCUGGGCUCGAAAUGUUAUGGACAGUCUGUGAAAGCAGAUCUUCCCGCAAGGGACCGUAGUAUAGGUGCUGCAUGGCUGUCGUCAGCUCGUGUCGUGAGAUGUUGGGUUAAGUCCCGCAACGAGCGCAACCCUUGUCCUGUGUUGCCACUCCCGUAAGGGAAGCACUCUCAGGAGACCGCCAGCGAUAAGUUGGAGGAAGGUGGGGAUGAUGUCAAGUCAUCAUGGCCUUUAUGUCCAGGGCUACACACGUGCUACAAUGGACGGUACAAAGCGCUGCAAACCCGCGAGGGGGAGCCAAUCGCAAAAAACCGUUCUCAGUUCGGAUCGCAGGCUGCAACUCGCCUGCGUGAAGCUGGAAUCGCUAGUAAUGGUGUAUCAGAACGAUACCGUGAAUACGUUCCCGGGCCUUGUA